UGCUUGGAUCCGCCAUUUUGCCACUAGAGAUGCUGUCUGAAGACCAGUGCUCUCUUCCUUCAGCGGCCUAGGCUGCGUCGGGGCCUGAGCUGGGGUCUGGGCCAGCCAUGGACAAUUUGCCAUUCUCAAGAUUUCCUGUCAUGGAAUGACUCUCCUAUCUCCUUUCUGAUGAACAGAACUGCAUCCACCAAGUGUUGGUCACUGGGUGGGAUGGAAGAUCAUCCAUCAGAAUUAUCACAACCUCUACAGCAGGUCUUCAUCGGGCCAAGGCCACAGCUAACUGCUUGGCAUGGAGCCCCCAUUUCAUCCUCAGUGGCCCUAAGCUCUUAAUCCACUCAUUCCUGACCUGUUUGGCACUGUAAACUAGGGUUGAGUGAGGCCCUUGCAUAGGGCCAGGACCUGAAUCCACAGGUGACCAAUUCCCCCUGGGCUGCUUAGAGGCUCUGGCAAAAGAACCUGCAAUGCAUGGAAAAAUCCCAUGAGACAAGUGCCAGAGAAUGGGACAGAGUGGACUGACAUUUGAGGUGAGCACACAUCUGGUGAGGUGACGCUGUGUAAGAGCUGGGGACAGUGGAGUAAGACACCUUGCUAAUGGUCCUUGGACACCAGGCCCAGUACAGAAAAUGAGGUACAAUGGCAGAAUUCAUUCAUGACAAGAAAUGAAACGAUUUUGUGUCUGUUCCUUUUCUCCUCUUCCAUCAAUAUGUGUACAGUGACCUUGCCUGUGACAAGGUAGAGGAUUAGUAGAGAGGAUAUGGUAGUUCAGCACUUGCAGUCCAGAUUCCUUUGGAGUAAGACCAUGGGCCCAGUGUUUCACAAGCCCUGGAUAGAGCCAUUGGAAGGGUUAAUCAGACCCAAAGUUCCUCUUAGUCGUGUGUGGGCCUCCAUACAUUCCCUUCUGCUCACACUCUGCACUGGAGCCAAUACCUCCUGUUAUUGUGGGUCCCAUCUCUGGAGCAGGGAUGUGGCACACAGGGCCCUUGGUCCACCUCCAUGCCAAAGUCCUGUGUGCAGCAUGGAUGGGGCAGUGCCCAGUAGCCAACAGGAAGCCUGAGACUCUGAGACACCACAGGUUUCACUUUGUGAACCCAGAUAACCUUAUGUUCCGCAAAGACUAACAGCUCUUUCCCAGACUUCUACCGAGGAGGACAGGAGAUGACUCUGGAGGCUCUGGAUAAGCAUGAUGCUGCCCUUGUCCUCCUGCCAGCCCUGUCCUUGGUAGGAACAUGACAGGAGCACAGGCUCACACUUCCCAACACCUGCCCCUGCCCCAGAGCAUCUCCCUCACUGCCUGUCCUCAGAGCACUUACAAUGAUGAUUUAGGAUGGGAAUGGUUUAGAAGAAUUCACAGAGGUGGCCAUGCCUUAAUGUGCUAUCCUCUAGUUAGUGUCUCUGAGUGGCUGGUGGCUGAGCCUAGGGACACCUGUACUGGGCUCCCUCUUGUUUCUGGUGUCUUGGGAGUUGGGGCUCUUGGGCCCUGCCCUGUGCUGCCCUUGAUUUUAGGCAGAUCCUGGUGAGCAUCCUGAAACAUCUUGGCCCAGUGAACCAUCCUUUCACUCAUUUGCAUGUGGUUUUCCCAUGCAGGGUCAAGAGGCUGGGGCUUUAAAGCCUCAGAAAGCAGCACAGCAUAUUCACUGGUUACUCUCAUGAGCCACGUGCUGGUGAAGGUCAACUGUCCGCAGACAAAGUUGCCUGGUGACCAGAAGUUUCAAAGUUCUGUUUAGACCUGUUGCCAAGAAAGUUGUGUCAUGUGCUGGGGUCCAGAGCUGGGCUGACCCCUUUGAUGCCUCCUUUCUUUUUAUUGUGGAACAAAUUUGUUUUCCUUAGAAAUUGCAAGUGAAAAACUAGAAAACAGAAUGUGGUUUUAUACUUUUCUUCACUUUGAAAUAUUUCAUACAACAAACAUGUAGAUGCUUCAGAAGUGGCAGGCUGGGAACCAAGUGCACAUUUCCAUCCAAAAUGUUUUUUUCAUUGAGAAUUAGGUUUCACUUAGAGAUCUGUCAAAUUUUAGGAUGUGUUUCUUUCCUUUGCUUAUGUUAGUUUUAUUUCAACUCCAUUAGGGAGUAUGGAGAUGUUCCCAGAAUAACCAUAAUAAUUUUCUUUGAAGUAUGUGAAUGUUUCAUGUUAUAACCUCCUCCUGUCCAGGGGAUGAGGUUUCCUAAGAAGUUUUACUCUCAUGGGCCUAUGAGUGAUUACUUAUUCAUCCUUAGAUAUUUAACUCAGCCACACACUGUAGCCUCGUACUCUGACAUCCAGUGGAGGGGAGAGCAGGUGGUGAUUGCAAGGGGAGGCUUUCCAAGACCAUGGACAUCAUCACUCCCUGCUGAGGAAGGACACAUGCACAUCACUCCUGGGGAACUUGUCUCAUAGCCACUGAUAUCACUUCCAGUCCUCUAUUCCCAAACAGACCGUGGGCUUUGUGUCCCUCCUGGGUAGUUUGCCUUUCCUAGACGUGAUGGCCCUGAGGCUGAUCAGGCAAAAUGCUCUCUGGUUGGUCUCCUGCAAGCAGUGUCUCCAUCCUGGGCUCCCAGUGUGCUGCCACCACAUGCCAUUGCAGGGCUGAACAAAACCAGCUGUCACUUGUUCAUGCACCCCUCACCCAUCUGCCAAUGUCCAUUUCUUUUGUUUCUGGCUCAACCCUUGAAAGCAAGCUGCCACAGCCAAUCUUAUACAUGUGCUUGAGUGGAUGCAGUCUUUCAUUUUAAAGAAAAACAACUUAAAUGUGAAAUUAAUGGAUUAUAUUACUAGUUUAUGGCUAACUAGAAAAUAAUGGAUUAUAUUACUAGUUUAUGGCUAACUAGAAAUUCUUAAAGUAUCUUUGGAAGCAGUUGUUUAAAGCAGAGUUAGGUGGUUGCUUUUUCAUUUUGUUUUAUUAUGGUAUACUGUGCUAUGCUAUAUUAUGUUACAUUAUGUUAUAUGUUGGUGAGGAUUUUGAAACUGUAUUUUCUGUGGUUUCUGAUUUGAUUUUGUAUAUUCAAUCUGAGAAAAUAUAAGAAUAUCACAUAACUCUGAGUAAGUUUGUUUGGAGAAAAUUUUAAAAGGAAAACGCAGUCUGUGAUGUUGGUACACACCUGUCAUUUCAGUUCUCAGAGGUUGAGACAGGGGGAUUGUUGUAAUUUUGAGGUCGUCUGGGGCUAAAAGGGAAGAUCAAGGCCAGCUUCAACUGUAUAGCAGAACCCAAUCUCAAAAAAAGAAUG
Molecule: long non-coding RNA, 3197 nt
Organism: Cavia porcellus (domestic guinea pig)
Lineage: Eukaryota; Metazoa; Chordata; Mammalia; Rodentia; Caviidae
Exons: 3
Source: RefSeq, a predicted model, not a curated record